Molecule: small nuclear RNA, 24 nt
Filed under: Arabidopsis thaliana (thale cress)
Lineage: Eukaryota; Viridiplantae; Streptophyta; Magnoliopsida; Brassicales; Brassicaceae
Description: snRNA_01849
Source: RNAcentral
UCUCUCCCUUCAAACAAAACCUCU